UUUAUAUUAUAAAGAUUAAAUUCCAAUUAGCUUAGGAUUCUAUUCUUCGACGUUCAAUUGAGGGAAUCCGAAAGUUUGUCAUGCAUUAUGAGUACUAUAUGGUUACCAUUUAAUUGGUUUUGCUAGAUUUUGAGGAGUUCCUCUUCAAUUUAAGAUGGUGAAUUUGGGGUUGUUUACUGGGAACAAGCCUUUGAAGUCAAGGAAGGUGAGCUUCAGAAUCCCAUAUUAUAC
Molecule: long non-coding RNA, 231 nt
Filed under: Nicotiana benthamiana
Lineage: Eukaryota; Viridiplantae; Streptophyta; Magnoliopsida; Solanales; Solanaceae
Description: long non-coding RNA (NBEN_LNC004640)
Source: RNAcentral